CGCUGUGGAGAGAGAAAAAAAACCACUGGAAUUAGACCCAUGCUUUCAGGAAUACUGUUGGUUAACCUAAUGGAAUUUUCCAGGAUACACUGUUUAUGGCUUGAAAGGAAUCUUUAUGUCAAACCAUUCUUUCAUCUUCUUUUGGAAACCUGUAAUUCAUCCUGUGACAUCAGUUCACAUAAACAAACUCCAGUCAUCAUGGAUAGGUUUGUCAUUUUGAUAUCACUGCCACAGUGACAGAAGAUGUUCACCUCGAGAAAAAACCCCCAUUGACAAGGCUGCCUGGCUGUUCCUCUCCUCUUCAAUGCAGGAUACACUGGUUAACACAGAAUUAGUUGUGUGCCAGACUUAUGUAGAAUCAGCCAUCCCCUCGGAUCAGCCGUGAGCUAGGACCAGCACUAGCACAAGGAAAGCAACUGGAGCAGCAGGUGGCCAAGAGGAUUGUGACCUAGAAUCUCAACAGCAAAGACCAAGGGGCUGUGUGGCCAUGUUUGCUGGGGAAACGUGGGCAGAUGAAAAGUCCUGAGGAACUGAAGAGUUUAAGGACUGUCACACUGGGAAGCUGAUGAUUCACAUACCUCUCCUCCUCCAAACGCCUGUUCCGUGGUAUGUCCUCUUGCCUGCGAGCCAAACUGCACAAACUUGAAGGACAAGACUAUUAGUCACAUAACAGUUACAGACAUAUAAAUGCCAGUGACAGUCUUGCAGUCACUUCUAUUUGACCAGAAAAGGUGUUGUCUAAGCAUGUUUCAGAAGCCAGCGGCAUUCUUAAGAGCACCAUAUAUGGUUUGUGCAGCUUACUUCGCUCCCUGGAAAGCAGCAAUGCAGCCCUGGUUCAAAACCACUACUUCUGUUAUAGCUUAACCAACAUUUUAGAUAUCUCUGCUUCAGGCUGUCCCUUAGGUUCCAAACCGUAGAGUUCUCACAGCAUUUUUCAAGAAGGUUAAGUCUGUAGGGUACCUCUUGCAUCAUUCUGGAUUUACAUUUGAAGUAUGACCCUUAGGCAAUACAUAAUAGCAAAGCAUCCCUAAAAAUUCGUCUGGCUUUUCCACAAAAUGCAAAAGCAUAGGCAUUAGCAUGUCAAUUCCUAAAUGCACUGCCCUCUACAGCACACUGUGUGUUUGUGAAAUAAACACAUCAUUUACUCCUCCAUAUAAAUAUAUUUCUUUAACAGAAAAUCCUAACACCAAAGCAGUGGAAAGGCAACUACUUUAGAUGAAUUUACAUUUAACGUGAAAGGACCGCUCCAGUGGAUGCUGUUACAAUCUGUCUUCUAUUAAAUUCAGGGUAAAACACGAACCUAAUCAAGAACUAGAAGAUAUAAUCUCUUCAGUGUGCUAAAUUUCCAGCUUCAGUGGACAAUUGCAAACUGACUGGUCAUCAGUUUACUGUGAUCGUAUCAGCCCAGACUGAAAAAAUUGCAAGUGACUUGUCCUUGGGACAAAUUUUGCACAAUGUCAUUUCAGUGUCCCCACCCACUCAUUUUGCAGAAAAGAUUUCAGUAGCUGCAGGGCAGACUACCCUUCCUUCAGCGAGGGAAGUAGGUCAGACUGAACUCCUUGAAUGCUCUGCCUAAGGAAAAGAUAUCUUGAACCACAAUGUUCCCUGAGGCUGCUCACAUAGACACUGGGGUCAGGCACAACUUCCCCGGCUUGCACUUCAUUAUGAUUUUUCUACUAUUCAAAGGCUGCAAAAUCUUAAGGUUUGUUUUUGCAAACUUACUGACGGGAAGAUGACAAAUUCCAAGUGGCAGCCAUUAGUUUUUGAUGUACAAAGUAAACUUGUUUUUUUAAAAUCCAGAAGAAAUAACUAAAUUUAACUGGUAAUAUGAUUCUUAAAGGAUCCAAUUAGAAACAUUUACAGAUUUGGAUACUGAAUUACAGUGGCCCAUAUUCUAAAGAAAUUAAGUUCUUAACAUAAAAGUGCCUGGUAAACAAGAGGUACUGAAGAUUAAAACCUGAUCUGUAGUAAUAAGAAAAGACAGGUUGGCCUUCUGACAAUAAAGUACAAUUCAAAAGAAAGGCCAUCAAAUGUAGCCCCUGGACCUCAGCUACUCUGCUAAAAAACUCAGGGUUAAAAAUAAAACCAUUAAUUCUACUUUUAGAGUAGAAAGCAACCUACACAUUUUCAUUGCCUGUUUUGGAACUAUCUAAUAAGAAUGGUGGAAGUUAAAUCCUUAAGUAUAGCUGAUGAGAGCUGAAGGACAAACACCCUCAGUUUGUAAUGCUUCCAACUAUGCUUCCUCUGGCUGUUCCUCUGCGUUUUAUUUGAUCAAUUGAUUUAACUUUGCUAAGGAACUGUUCUUGGCUCCAGUUUUGCCAAGAGUAGCAAAUUUGUACUCUAUCUUCUCUCUAAGGCUAUUUAUACAAUGUGACAAUGCACAUCUGCAUCACUUAUCAUAAGGUCACCAGGUAGGACUCAAUUUUCAAUUGCUGGGAUUCUAAGGGUGCAUAGAAGCAAGGAAUUCAAAGAGAUAAGGAAUAGGUUUUUCAGCUUCAAAUACCAAUUCUACUUCUAAGUUAUCCAUUUAUAGUCAACUGCUUCCCCCUGCAGUCUUGGGAAGCUAUUGCUGUAUCAUGCAUUCAAGGACUUGAAUUUCAAUUCAAAGAUGUAGUUACUUCAAAAAACAAACCUCUUUUUUUAAAAUCUUGCUAGAGUUGUCAC
Long non-coding RNA from Colius striatus (speckled mousebird), 2664 nucleotides. RefSeq lists it as uncharacterized. The transcript has 4 exons. The record is from RefSeq and is a predicted model, not a curated record. NCBI's taxonomy places the organism in Eukaryota, Metazoa, Chordata, Aves, Coliiformes, Coliidae.